GACGAACGCUGGCGGUGUGCUUAACACAUGCCAGUCGAACGGUAAGGCCCUUUCGGGGGUACACGAGUGGCGAACGGGUGAGUAACACGUGAGUAACCUGCCCUCAUCUCUGGGAUAACAGUCGGAAACGGUUGCUAAUACUGGAUAUGAGCUUGCAAGGCAUCUUGUGGGUUGGAAAGAUUUUUUUGGUUGGGGAUGGACUCGCGGCCUAUCAGCUUGUUGGUGAGGUAGUGGCUCACCAAGGCUUCGACGGGUAGCCGGCCUGAGAGGGCGACCGGCCACAUUGGGACUGAGAUACGGCCCAAACUCCUACGGGAGGCAGCAGUGGGGAAUAUUGCACAAUGGACGGAAGUCUGAUGCAGCAACGCCGCGUGCGGGAUGACGGCCUUCGGGUUGGAAACCGCUUUCAAUUGUGACGAAGCUUUUUGUGACGGUAGCAGUAGAAGAAGCACCGGCUAACUACGUG
RNAcentral lists this ribosomal RNA (466 nucleotides) under uncultured bacterium. RNAcentral describes it as "partial 16S ribosomal RNA". It matches the Rfam family "Bacterial small subunit ribosomal RNA", at positions 28 to 507 of the family's 1533-position model. The record is from RNAcentral.